Cotesia glomerata is the source of this 295-nucleotide long non-coding RNA. RefSeq lists it as uncharacterized. NCBI's taxonomy places the organism in Eukaryota, Metazoa, Arthropoda, Insecta, Hymenoptera, Braconidae. The record is from RefSeq and is a predicted model, not a curated record. The transcript is spliced from 3 exons.
UAAGUGAAGUUGAAUAUUUAUUUUAAGUGUAGUGAAAUAAUAAUAAUAGUGAGUAGUUAGUAAUAUUAGUAAUCAAGUGUUUAAUUAAAAUAUUUAACAAGUGUCUUGAGAGUUGACAAGUGAUCAAGUGUUUUAGUUCUUCUUUUUGGAGCACUUCAAGAAAUCAACGCGCAUCAACUUCCAUCAUGUGUUUUCAAUAUUGUGACCAAUUAAUUCAACAAAGAUGAUGGGGCUGAAAUUAAUAGUUUGCGUGCUGGAGAUAAAAUAGGCGGGUGAGCAUCAGGUAUUUAUGAAA